AAACAGCAUAAUAUAAAAUAUUUUAAACAAAGAUGCAUUUUAGAUGUUGAGGUUGCUGGCUUUCCAUAGUUAAGGUUGAUUGUAUCAAUCGUAAAACAUUGAAAGACGGGCUCUAAGGGCCCGUUUCAUAAAGGACUUGCAAUUUUGCCAUAAUGGCAAAGUUACAACAGUUGUAAGUCCUUUAUGAAACGGGCCCCAGGAGUCUGAAAGGAUACAGAUAAUUUAAAAGUACUUAAUUCCCUGUGGAAACCAGCUUAAACGUGUCCUGGGGACUCUCGACGUAAUUUUAAGUGGUCUUCCAAACCAGUAUGGAAAAACGAGCUCAUGAUGUGGUUUUCAAGACCACUUUGCCUCGUUAAACUGGUUUAAGUGUAGAUGAGGAUACAACUGUUCUUUGGGAAGCGAUCAUUGCACGGAAUUAUGAUAAAUGUUUGCACGUUGGGCACGCUACUCGGUUCACACUGCCUGUAUUCUGGAGUCAGGUUUAAGUUAGACCACGGUCUAACUCUGCUAAAAUUAUGGAAAGCCAAAAAUGUCAAAGUUUUUCUUACAUUGUAUGUUUCUUAUUUUUACUGUGCUCUUUCCUAGCUUGUGAAUGAUGGAGAAAGCUAUCUUAUUUGUCCUUCCGAAACAGUUAAGAAUGCUGUGAGAGAAAAAUGAGGGGAUACGUUGAAAAUAUACGCCACAAAAUUUAUGCCACUAUUGGCUAUCCAUAGUUAAACAGCAACUUUUCAGAGUUUACUUUAAACCCGAGUUCAGAAUACGGGCCACUGUGUGUAGAAAUGCCUGCCCUGUGAUUUCAAAUU
Lytechinus variegatus (green sea urchin) is the source of this 806-nucleotide long non-coding RNA. RefSeq lists it as uncharacterized. The record is from RefSeq and is a predicted model, not a curated record. The transcript has 2 exons. NCBI's taxonomy places the organism in Eukaryota, Metazoa, Echinodermata, Echinoidea, Temnopleuroida, Toxopneustidae.